UUUUCACCUUUUGAGGUAAAGGUGGCCUCUGCUUGCAUGCUACCGCUUGGGGAUGAGUCCGCGUCUCAUUAGUUUGUUGGUGGGGUAAUGGCCUACCAAGACUACGAUGAGUAGCUGGUCUGAGNNGAUGAUCAGCCACACUGGGACUGGAACACGGCCCAGACUCCUACGGGAGGCAGCAGUGGGGAAUAUUGCGCAAUGGGCGAAAGCCUGACGCAGCGACGUCGCGUGAGGGAAGAAGGCUCUCGGGUCGUAAACCUCUGUCAGGGGGGAAGAAACCCUUGGACUCGAAUAGGGUCCUUGGCUGACGGUACCCCCAGAGGAAGCACCGGCUAAUUCAGUGCCAGCAGCCGCGGUAAUACUGAAGGUGCGAGCGUUAAUCGGAAUCACUGGGCGUAAAGCGUGCGUAGGCGGCGCGGUCAGUCAGAUGUGAAAGCCCUCGGCUCAACCGAGGAAUUGCAUUUGAUACUGCCGUGCUAGAGUCUCGGAGAGGUUGGCGGAAUUCCAGGUGUAGGAGUGAAAUCCGUAGAUAUCUGGAGGAACAUCAGUGGCGAAGGCGGCCAACUGGACGAGUACUGACGCUGAGGUACGAAAGCGU
RNAcentral lists this ribosomal RNA (598 nucleotides) under Desulfovibrionaceae bacterium PR6_E11. RNAcentral's name for it is "bacterial SSU rRNA". It matches the Rfam family "Bacterial small subunit ribosomal RNA", at positions 187 to 762 of the family's 1533-position model. Lineage: Bacteria; Pseudomonadati; Thermodesulfobacteriota; Desulfovibrionia; Desulfovibrionales; Desulfovibrionaceae. The record is from RNAcentral.